This 810-nucleotide ribosomal RNA is filed under the name uncultured bacterium. RNAcentral describes it as "bacterial SSU rRNA". It matches the Rfam family "Bacterial small subunit ribosomal RNA", at positions 62 to 879 of the family's 1533-position model. The record is from RNAcentral.
UCGAGCGAGAAAGUGACUUCGGUCGCGAGUAAAGCGGCGAACGGGUGAGUACAACGUGGAUAAUCUACCCUAAGGUCUGGGACAACCCCGAGAAAUCGGGGCUAAUACCGGAUAAGACCACAGUAUCCGAGGAUACAGCGGUAAAAGAUUUAUCGCCUUUGGAUGAGUCCACGCCCCAUCAGGUAGUUGGUAAGGUAAAGGCUUACCAAGCCUAAGACGGGUAGCCGGCCUUAGCGGGUGAACGGCCACAUGGGGACUGAGACACGGCCCUGACUCCUACGGGAGGCAGCAGUGGGGAAUAUUGGGCAAUGGGCGAAAGCCUGACCCAGCGAUGCCGCGUGAGGGAUGAAGGCCUUCGGGUUGUAAACCUCUGUCAGGAGGGACGAUGGGACUUUGUCUUGACGGUACCUCCAGAGGAAGCCCCGGCUAACUCCGUGCCAGCAGCCGCGGUAAUACGGAGGGGGCAAGCGUUGCUCGGAAUUACUGGGCGUAAAGGGUCCGCAGGCUGUCAGGCAAGUUGGUUGUGAAAGCUCAAGGCUUAACCUUGGAAUUGCAUCCAAACCUGCCUGACUAGAGUCCAAGAGAGGUUGGCGGAAUUCCCGGUGUAGCGGUGAAAUGCAUAGAUAUCGGGAGGAACACCAGAGGCGAAGGCGGCCAACUGGCUUGGUACUGACGCUCAGGGACGAAAGCGUGGGUAGCAAACCGGAUUAGAUACCCGGGUAGUCCACGCCCCUAAACGAUGGAUGCUAGGUAGGGGGAAUUUUAAUUCUCCCUGCCGUAGUUUAACGCAUUAAGCAUCCCGCCUGGGGA